This is a non-coding RNA of Struthio camelus australis, 2745 nucleotides long. NCBI's taxonomy places the organism in Eukaryota, Metazoa, Chordata, Aves, Struthioniformes, Struthionidae. The record is from RefSeq and is a predicted model, not a curated record.
AUUCAAGCAGUUUAUGGUCAGAUUUAGCGACCAUACGUGCACAACGGCAAAGCCUUGCAUCCAAAUACAAGCAUUUGUAGUUCCUUUUCGCUUGUAUAUAACCUUCCUGUGUUGGUGUGAGCAACUUUGAUCUUUGAUAUAGUGACCAGCUUCCUGGAGCAGUCGGCGGAAGAUACGUUCUUAACUGUGUCUGCAAGCUGUGUCAAGAAUUUAUCAAAGUUGCUGACUCCUAACACUCAGGAGAGCAAUACCAUGGUACAUAUUAUAAAUGAAGACCCUUUUUUCCUGGCCCACUGGCUAUAAGUAAAUUUGAUGCAAACAGGCAAGGAAAGCAGCACGCUAGGGUGUUUACUGAUUUCUUUGUGUUGCGACUGUGAUGGUUUGGGUGGACCCAGUUAGAGCUAUCUGUAAAAAGGCAAUGCAUGAAAAUGUCUCCCCUGUAAAAUAAGCCAUGUUUUUAUUUUUAACAACCCUGAGGCAUUCCAAAACAUAUCAGAGCCUUCCUGAACCAGAACAAAGUAAAACAUGACUUUUAUCCUAAAGUACCCGUAAUCCGGGCAACCAGUGCCAAAUGGGGAGUGAAUCAUAGGCUUGGAAGAGAAGUCAGGGACGUUCUUUUAAGCACCGAGAAAACCUUGUUUUAUCAGGUGAUUCCCAUAGGGAAUUUUCCUGUUUUGAGCUUUUCUAUGGCUAAUGAGUGACAUUGCUGGAUAAUUUUGGUCAUUCUAAUGGCAGGUGCAAUUUUGGGGGGUGAGGGGAAAGGUUAAAAUCCCUCCCUUACUUUAGAUGUUGUGUAUCCUGCUCCUCUGCGAUGUAGCUGGCACCACUGUCUGUGCUUGUGGGGACAGUGAGAGGAGCUACUGGAGACAACGACAGCUCUUGUGCAAGGCUGCAGCAAGGCAGGAUCAUGCCGCCGCUCCUCCAGUUGUCUGCCGGAGACAGCGAAGUGCUCACAGCUGGGAGGCCCCAGGACUGCAAGGCUGGUGGGCAGCUAUUUUUAACCUGGAUGGGUUCUGUGAUUUGUUUCGCACACAGCAUUCAAACUGGCACAGCUGAGGGAAGAGCGAGCGCUGGGAACAGGAGAAGGGAAAGCAGGGGCUGCUUAUGUUGGCACUGCUACUAAAAGAAGUACUCAUCAAACUGAAGCCUCAGUCUCUUCGCAUCUCACAUCUGUAAAGUGGAAAUGAUGAUAGCCUCACAUCACCUCUCUGAAAGGAUCAAACUGGUAGCUGCCGUAAAAGCCUGUGUAACUUGUCAGAGCAAUUCUCUACCCUGGCAAGUUACACAAGCCGCGGAGCUGCUCUCUGCCCCUGGGCGUCCUGCCUCCCUCUGCCUUCUGCCUGCAUGGGUGACUCCUCCUCUCCGUCCUUCUUCAAAGGCAUCAGCUAUACUCACUUUUAGGGAAAUUGGCAGAAUUCUCCUUAGCUGCACCGCGGGACAUGGUGAGACCCCUCGACAACGUAGCAGUUUCUUCCCGCCUUUCCUCCCUUUGGAAGUGUUGCUCAAAUAAAAGGGAAGCUUGAGCCUCCACUGAAAUAAACAUAAAAAAGAGACAGACUGGGAUUGCCAACCUGCAACGUGCUCUGUAUUUGAUUUCCUCUCGCAGUCUGUACAGAUCUGCCUGCCUGCGCAAAUCUGUUUAGUCAUGUUGCACGGCUGGGCUGGAUGGGGCUCUUUGCUGCAGGACUAGAGCUCUUUCCCAGGUCUCCUCAACAAUCAGAUGUUUGCUGUGCCAGGGAGCCGGUGUGCUCCCUUCGUCUGAAUUUAGUUGGCAGCCAGGGGCUCCAGAGGAUGAAGGGGGACCAUGCAGAGCUUCCGUAACAAACCAAGUUUUAGCAAGGGGACUCCCUUUUAUUGAAGGGCUAGAAAUAACCAUGGCCCUACCUGCAAUGUCUUUCAGUGGCCAAUGUGCUCUGGAGCGGGCCAGUCUGCCUCUCAGGUCUCAAUGGGUUUCGUGAACGAUGGAGGGACCCUUUGCUUCAGUGGCUGCCUUUGCUGCAAGAGAUGGGCCACGGCUCUGAGGUACCUUUAUGAUCCUCUGCUUCGAGAGUUGGCCUGGGACCAGUCCAGCACCUGAUCUCAGACGAUUUAUGGCCCUGGAGCGCAGCCACAUUCUCAUGGUUACAAAGGCGUGUGGACGCGGCCUGGCGCUGCCCUGUCCUCCCAGAGCAUGCGGGUGAGGAAGCGCAGGAGGUGUGAAAUGCUGGUGCUUGCAGUUGUGGUAACUAUUGAUCACCACCUCCGUGGGUUAUUGAAGGCAAAAGAUACAGUGAGAACACGACUGAGCUCCCUCACUUGCCCAAAAUCCACACGUGCCUCCAGGUGAUGCAAACCCUUCCUGGGACUUGACUGUAAUUACAAAUGUGUUUUUUCUUCACAAUAGUAGGUGCCAACUCUUCUUAAGGGGUUUAGCUGCUCCCACAGUUGCUCCUCAUAGCUGGCGGUGGCCCCUCCACUCUUUCUCCAGGGCUUGCUGUCGUUAGGUCCUGGUUGGAGACCAGCAUCCACUGACACUACUAGCCUGUGGAAACACUAACUUGUUUUUUAAGUAGAGAUUGGGUGUAAUAGUCAUUCAAUGAUUCAAUGAUCUCUGUCUUCCCUGAACAGAAAAUACAUGUCUGCCCUACCAAAGCCACUCUGCAGGCAGCAAACCUUUGCCAUAUGACAAGGAUAUAUAGACUGCUGUUACACUCUCGCUGCGCUGUGUGACUUUAGCUAGGAUGCUUAGCUAUGUAUUUCUCAACA